AUUGCCUUGUGGUGGGCUCGGUGCUCAAGAUGACAAGCUGGACUCCUUAAUAACUGGCGAGCAAGUCUGCCUGUUCCAGCACCCUCAUUUUCAGGGCUCCAAGGCUGAGAAGCCAAACAUCCAGCGCAUGAUUGAUGCCAAUAAGAAAUGGCUGGAGAGUUUCAAGCAUGAUUGCAAAAGCCCUUUCUUGGCGAGUGCUUCACAUUCCUCCAGCAGUGGCUCCGGUUUGGUGCAGCUUGGGUUGGAUGAGAACAAUCAGAUCAAGGUCUACCACUUCUAGAUGGACAAAAAUCCUGCUUGUCUGCAAAAAGCUUACCCACCUGUCUAACAACAAUAUAUAUUAUAUCUCUGUACCCAACAGCCUCCACAUGUUUUCUUGGGUUGCAAUCAGAGAUUGAUUCUUAGCCAGAUUUCUCUUGGGAAAUUAAUUCCAGCCAUUUUGUAGAUUCUCCAUCCCAGGGAAUGUCACAAGUGUGAAAGAAAAAGAAGUUGUGUGCUGAAUGGAGAAAGGUGGCUGGUAGGUUACCUGUCCAUAUUUAGGGAGCCAGAGAAACAAAGGGCCCACCUGAAACACAUGAGUCUUCUCCUAUCUCUUGCUCAGCUUCCUCUUUCUACUGUCACCUUCCACACCACAGAAUCCCCAGUUCAGGUAUGGCUGCUGAGGGUGCUGGCAGUGUGUUUCUGCUCCUGCAGCAACUGAGAAUAUGAACUACAAAAUCAGUCUUUGCAGAGACUAAAGCAGGUCAUGAGCAAGUCCAAUUCUCCAGGUGCUUCUGAAUUCUGGCAGUUCAUUUCUACCCCUGGUUUCUGCCCUUUUCUUAAGGGCUUGUGUACCUGACCUCACUGGUGGCGUAUUCAUUGGGCAUAUUCUUCAAUGCUCUCAGCAACACCAGAAGGCAAACCGAGAUUUGGGGGAAAUGAGAGCAGGCAAUAGCCCAAUGUACUCUUCCUUGCAAAUGGUUAGUAUAUCCUUUGAUUAAGCUGCCAGAAGAAAGCUAAAUUUCUCUCCCACCUCCAUUUUCAACUGGACCCUUCUCUCUGGGGUUGCUUUUUAAACAAUGAUCACCAGGCGUCUAAACAGGCAGCAAAAUUCUCCCCACCCCCCC
Molecule: long non-coding RNA, 1106 nt
Filed under: Notechis scutatus (mainland tiger snake)
Lineage: Eukaryota; Metazoa; Chordata; Lepidosauria; Squamata; Elapidae
Description: lncRNA (ENSNSUG00000007066.1)
Source: RNAcentral